AGUGAACGCUGGCGGUAGGCCUAACACAUGCAAGUCGAACGGCAGCACAGUAAGAGCUUGCUCUUACGGGUGGCGAGUGGCGGACGGGUGAAGAAUACAUCGGAAUCUACUUUUUCGUGGGGGAUAACGUAGGGAAACUUACGCUAAUACCGCAUACGACCUACGGGUGAAAGCAGGGGAUCUUCGGACCUUGCGCGAUUGAAUGAGCCGAUGUCGGAUUAGCUAGUUGGCGGGGUAAAGGCCCACCAAGGCGACGAUCCGUAGCUGGUCUGAGAGGAUGAUCAGCCACACUGGAACUGAGACACGGUCCAGACUCCUACGGGAGGCAGCAGUGGGGAAUAUUGGACAAUGGGCGCAAGCCUGAUCCAGCCAUACCGCGUGGGUGAAGAAGGCCUUCGGGUUGUAAAGCCCUUUUGUUGGGAAAGAAAAGCAGCAGGUUAAUACCCCGCUGUUCUGACGGUACCCAAAGAAUAAGCACCGGCUAACCUCGUG
This 492-nucleotide ribosomal RNA is filed under the name uncultured bacterium. RNAcentral's name for it is "partial 16S ribosomal RNA". It matches the Rfam family "Bacterial small subunit ribosomal RNA", at positions 29 to 507 of the family's 1533-position model. The record is from RNAcentral.